This 473-nucleotide ribosomal RNA is filed under the name uncultured bacterium. Its description in RNAcentral is "bacterial SSU rRNA". It matches the Rfam family "Bacterial small subunit ribosomal RNA", at positions 355 to 825 of the family's 1533-position model. The record is from RNAcentral.
UGGGGAAUUUUGGACAAUGGGCGCAAGCCUGAUCCAGCAAUGCCGCGUGAGUGAAGAAGGCCUUCGGGUUGUAAAGCUCUUUUGUCAGGGAAGAAACGGUGGGGGCUAAUAUCCUCCACUAAUGACGGUACCUGAAGAAUAAGCACCGGCUAACUACGUGCCAGCAGCCGCGGUAAUACGUAGGGUGCAAGCGUUAAUCGGAAUUACUGGGCGUAAAGCGUGCGCAGGCGGUUGUGUAAGUCAGAUGUGAAAUCCCCGGGCUCAACCUGGGAAUUGCAUUUGAGACUGCACGGCUAGAGUGUGUCAGAGGGGGGUAGAAUUCCACGUGUAGCAGUGAAAUGCGUAGAUAUGUGGAGGAAUACCGAUGGCGAAGGCAGCCCCCUGGGGAUAACACUGACGCUCAUGCACGAAAGCGUGGGGAGCAAACAGGAUUAGAUACCCCUGUAGUCCCUGAGCGGGCUGGCAAGGCGCAU